GCUUGUCUCAAAGAUUAAGCCAUGCAUGUCUUAGUGUAAAUAACUCUUAUGAAACUGCGAAUGGCUCAUUAAAUCAGUUAUCGUUUAUUUGAUGGUCCCUUACUACAUGGAUAACCGUAGUAAUUCUAGAGCUAAUACAUGCAUAAAACCCUAACUUCUGGAAAGGGUGUAUUUAUUAGAUGGAAACCAAUGCGGGGUAACCCGGAAUAUGGUGAUUCAUAAUAACUUUCGGAUCGAUUUAUCGAUGCAUCAUUCAAGUUUCUGCCCUAUCAGCUUUGGAUGGUAGGGUAUUGGCCUACCAUGGCUUUAACGGGUAACGGAGAAUUAGGGUUCGAUUCCGGAGAGGGAGCCUGAGAAACGGCUACCACAUCCAAGGAAGGCAGCAGG
RNAcentral lists this ribosomal RNA (387 nucleotides) under uncultured Chrysophyceae. Its description in RNAcentral is "partial small subunit ribosomal RNA". It matches the Rfam family "Eukaryotic small subunit ribosomal RNA", at positions 30 to 432 of the family's 1831-position model. The record is from RNAcentral. Lineage: Eukaryota; Chrysophyceae.